GGGAAGAUACCGUUCAAGGUUGAACGGGACGGGCUUGAAAACCGCUGUGCUCGCAUUGGGUACUGUGAGUUCGAAUCUCACCUUCUUCUCU
This 91-nucleotide transfer RNA is filed under the name Methylacidiphilales bacterium. Its description in RNAcentral is "Candidatus Methylacidiphilales bacterium tRNA-Ser". It matches the Rfam family "tRNA". From Rfam's summary of the family: Transfer RNA (tRNA) molecules are approximately 80 nucleotides in length. Their secondary structure includes four short double-helical elements and three loops (D, anti-codon, and T loops). Further hydrogen bonds mediate the characteristic L-shaped molecular structure. tRNAs have two regions of fundamental functional importance: the anti-codon, which is responsible for specific mRNA codon recognition, and the 3' end, to which the tRNAs corresponding amino acid is attached (by aminoacyl-tRNA synthetases). tRNAs cope with the degeneracy of the genetic code in two manners: having more than one tRNA (with a specific anti-codon) for a particular amino acid; and 'wobble' base-pairing, i.e. permitting non-standard base-pairing at the 3rd anti-codon position. The record is from RNAcentral. Lineage: Bacteria; Pseudomonadati; Verrucomicrobiota; Methylacidiphilae; Methylacidiphilales.